RNAcentral lists this unclassified non-coding RNA (228 nucleotides) under Hevea brasiliensis (rubber tree). Lineage: Eukaryota; Viridiplantae; Streptophyta; Magnoliopsida; Malpighiales; Euphorbiaceae. The record is from RNAcentral.
ACCUAUUAUCAAAGGCUUGGACUAAACUAGUAAUCUGAGCCAAAAUCCACAUGUCAACCAUAAAAAAACCCAUAAGCCUGCAGGCAUGUCCAUUCCAUAAUAGGUUUCAUACAUUAUUAUUUAAGUUAAACAGGGCUUUCAGGCACAACCAGUUAAUUCCCAAUGGAAAAUCAACAAGUCCUUGAGACAUCAUUAACAAAGUACCAGGAGGCUCUGGAAGAGGGCUAG